This 1052-nucleotide ribosomal RNA is filed under the name uncultured bacterium. RNAcentral's name for it is "bacterial SSU rRNA". It matches the Rfam family "Bacterial small subunit ribosomal RNA", at positions 335 to 1397 of the family's 1533-position model. The record is from RNAcentral.
ACUCCUACGGGAGGCAGCAGUGGGGAAUAUUGCACAAUGGGCGAAAGCCUGAUGCAGCGACGCCGCGUGAGGGAUGACGGCCUUCGGGUUGUAAACCUCUUUCAGCAGGGAAGAAGCUUAAUCGUGACGGUACCUGUAGAAGAAGCACCGGCUAACUACGUGCCAGCAGCCGCGGUAAUACGUAGGGUGCGAGCGUUGUCCGGAAUUAUUGGGCGUAAAGAGCUUGUAGGCGGUUUGUCGCGUCUGCUGUGAAAACUCGGGGCUUAACCCCGAGCCUGCAGUGGGUACGGGCAGACUAGAGUAUGGUAGGGGAGACUGGAAUUCCUGGUGUAGCGGUGGAAUGCGCAGAUAUCAGGAGGAACACCGAUGGCGAAAGCAGGUCUCUGGGCCAUAACUGACGCUGAGAAGCGAAAGCAUGGGGAGCGAACAGGAUUAGAUACCCUGGUAGUCCAUGCCGUAAACGUUGGGCGCUAGGUGUGGGGCUCAUUCCACGAGUUCCGUGCCGCAGCUAACGCAUUAAGCGCCCCGCCUGGGGAGUACGGCCGCAAGGCUAAAACUCAAAGGAAUUGACGGGGGCCCGCACAAGCGGCGGAGCAUGCUGAUUAAUUCGAUGCAACGCGAAGAACCUUACCAAGGCUUGACAUAUACCGGAAACACUCAGAGAUGGGUGCCCCGCAAGGUCGGUAUACAGGUGGUGCAUGGUUGUCGUCAGCUCGUGUCGUGAGAUGUUGGGUUAAGUCCCGCAACGAGCGCAACCCUCGUUCUAUGUUGCCAGCGCGUCAUGGCGGGGACUCAUAGGAGACUGCCGGGGUCAACUCGGAGGAAGGUGGGGAUGACGUCAAAUCAUCAUGCCCCUUACGUCUUGGGCUUCAAGCAUGCUACAAUGGCCAGUACAAAGGGCUGCGAUACCGCAAGGUGGAGCGAAUCCCAAAAAACUGGUCUCAGUUCGGAUUGGGGUCUGCAACUCGACCCCAUGAAGUCGGAGUCGCUAGUAAUCGCAGAUCAGCAACGCUGCGGUGAAUACGUUCCCGGGCCUUGUACACACCGCCCGU